AAAGAAAAAAAAAAACCUAAUCACCUCUCUCCCAUUAUUCGAGCAAGCUCCGCCUCCACCUUUCUUCUUCACCACUUAUAAAUCUUUCUCAUACUAAUCUGGGUAACCCUAAUCACCUCUCUUCUUUUAUUCCUUGGUUUACCUUCAGGAAUUGCCUACUAUUAUCUUCAUGGAGGAUGUCAAUGAGGAGUUAGACAAAUCAUUGAAAAUCGGUAUAAACAGUAUGACACCAUGGGGUGAAGAAACAAUGAAAUGAAGAUAACCCUCUUAUCUGUUAAGCUUUACUAUUUUUUUUUUAAGAAUAUCCAAGCUUUUUUUACGUUUUUGAGCUUAAUUAACAUUUCGGGGUGUAGUUUUGUUUUUUCAUCUUCUUAUACAAUUACUUGAUAGGACAUAUGAGAUGCAUGAUUCAAUUACUUUGACAACUAGGGCCUUCCAAUCUUUACACAUAUGAGUAUUAAUGAACUUUAUUUGUUGGUCUUUAAUGGACAUUUCAAUUUAUGAAAUCCCCGUCCCAUAGCUGAACCUGUUAGCAAACAAGUGAGUAUUUCAUAUUUUUAUGGUCAUGAACUAUGAUCCAGCUAAUUAAUUUCAAUAUCAUUGGAACUUAUAACGAUCUUUUGUUUUUGUUUUUCUUUUGGUAUUGUAUUAUGAAUUUAGAUCCCUUCUGAUGGACUUAUCGGUUUAACUCAGGUUUCAGGCAAGGGUGUUGUCGGUAUGGGAAAUUGCACGACGCAUAUUAGUGGCUCUGAAUUUUUUAUGGCAGUGCAAGUCUGCAAAUCAUUUUCUCUAUAAGCAUUCUGUUUUCGGGGGAAUUGUGGGUGGGUUGACUACCCUUGCAGCGAUGAAGAAGGUUCAUGUGGAUGACAGUCGCCGACAUUUGGGUGUUCAGCAGUUCAUGGCCUUCCAGUUUCAAUGCCGAUGAUAGCCUCAUCGAUUCUCCGCCAGCAAGGACUCCUUAGUCCAUUGAAGGAGGCAUUUUCGAGGUUCUUAUGGAUUUCACCUCCGGGUGCUGUGAACUUCGCAGGUUACAAGCUUGCACAGAAGGAAAUGGACAAAAGACGAAGAGCGAUCAACAAAUAAUCAGCUAAACAGUUUUGUUUUGAGGCAAAGGAAAAUUUAUUAAUAUGGAGUGGUGGUUAAUUAAUUAGCAUGAGGGCAUAGAAUGAUCUAUCAUGGAAGAUUAAAGAGUUGCGUGCAUGUCUAGAUUUAACUCAUAAUAUGUUUUUAAAGACUUGAGAGUUUCAAGACUGGAAGAUGAUGCGCUGAUGGACUUCCUUUGGGAAAAUGCACAUGAACUUCAUAGAUGUUCCUUUUUGGGGAAAAAGGCUCUGAAAAAUCUUCUUUACGUUCGCAUGAAUUAUGUAAGCUCCACUGCUCCGGUAUCAGAGAAACCAACAUAGACGGAUAAACUUUUAUUAUUUUAAAACGUUGUUUGGAUGGAUGCACAUCAUUUGUGAAAAAUUGUUAGUUUGAUAUGUUAUUACUGUUAGUAGUGUUUUUUCGAUUUUGCUAAGGAAACAUGUCUGGAUGUAGAUGUUAUCAACUCUGCAGCAAUAACUGGAAUAUAAUUCUUCA
This is a long non-coding RNA of Papaver somniferum (opium poppy), 1578 nucleotides long. RefSeq lists it as uncharacterized. The record is from RefSeq and is a predicted model, not a curated record. The transcript has 4 exons. NCBI's taxonomy places the organism in Eukaryota, Viridiplantae, Streptophyta, Magnoliopsida, Ranunculales, Papaveraceae.